RNAcentral lists this ribosomal RNA (389 nucleotides) under uncultured bacterium. Its description in RNAcentral is "bacterial SSU rRNA". It matches the Rfam family "Bacterial small subunit ribosomal RNA", at positions 28 to 417 of the family's 1533-position model. The record is from RNAcentral.
GACGAACGCUGGCGGCGUGCUUAACACAUGCAAGUCGAGCGGUAAGGCCCUUUCGGGGGUACACGAGCGGCGAACGGGUGAGUAACACGUGGGUGACCUGCCCUCAGCUCUGGGAUAAGCCUGGGAAACCGGGUCUAAUACUGGAUAUGACUCCAUGACGCAUGUUGUGGGGUGGAAAGCCUUGUGCGGCUGAGGAUGGGCCCGCGGCCUAUCAGCUUGUUGGUGGGGUGANGGCCUACCAAGGCGACGACGGGUAGCCGGCCUGAGAGGGCGACCGGCCACACUGGGACUGAGACACGGCCCAGACUCCUACGGGAGGCAGCAGUGGGGGAAUCUUGCGCAAUGGGCGAAAGCCUGACGCAGCGACGCCGCGUGAGGGAUGACGGCCU